UGACAAAGUCUGCGGAGCGCGCCGCGUGCAGGAUGACNGGCCUUCGGGUUGUAAACUGCUUUUAUGAGGGAGGAAAUUUUGACGUUACCUCAUGAAUAAGGAGCUCCUAAUUCCGUGCCAGCAGGAGCGGUCAUACGGAAGCUUCAAGCGUUACCCGGAAUCACUGGGCGUAAAGGGUGCGUAGGUGGUCAUAUUAGUCUUCUGUUAAAGACUCGGGCUCAACCCGAGGAGUGCGGAGGAAACGGUAUGACUAGAGGAUAUGAGAGGUGUGCGGAACUCAUGGUGUAGGGGUGAAAUCCGUUGAUAUCAUGGGGAACACCAAAUGCGAAGGCAGCACACUGGCAUAUUCCUGACACUGAGGCACGAAAGCGUGGGUAGCGAACGGGAUUAGAUACCCCGGUAGUCCAUGCCCUAAACGAUCCUAACUAGCUUUGGGGAGUAUCGACCCUCUCCGAGGCGAAAGCUAACGCGUUAAGUUAGGCCGCCUGGGUAGUACGAGGCAAGCU
RNAcentral lists this ribosomal RNA (506 nucleotides) under uncultured marine bacterium. Its description in RNAcentral is "bacterial SSU rRNA". It matches the Rfam family "Bacterial small subunit ribosomal RNA", at positions 373 to 894 of the family's 1533-position model. The record is from RNAcentral.